UACGUAGGGCGCGAGCGUUGUCCGGAAUUAUUGGGCGUAAAGAGCUCGUAGGCGGCCUGUUGCGUCCGCUGUGAAAUCCCAGGGCUCAACCCUGGGCGUGCAGUGGAUACGGGCAGGCUGGAGGCAGGCAGGGGAGAACGGAAUUCCCGGUGUAGCGGUGAAAUGCGCAGAUAUCGGAAAGAACACCAACGGCGAAAGCACUCUGCUGGGCCGACACUGACACUGAGAGACGAAAGCUAGGGGAGCGAAUGGG
Molecule: ribosomal RNA, 253 nt
Filed under: uncultured bacterium
Lineage: Bacteria
Description: partial 16S ribosomal RNA
Rfam family: Bacterial small subunit ribosomal RNA
Source: RNAcentral